AUUCUUGUGCUCGGGCACGUACUGUCGCCAGUGAGGUUUCUACCGAGGCACAGUCAAUUGCUGAUUGCAAAUUACACAUCCGAACUCGUCUGUUGGCUUUGGUCUUCAGCAAUUUUUGGAAAUUCCUUCAUCUGAUGAGGAC
Molecule: small nuclear RNA, 142 nt
Filed under: Daedalea quercina L-15889
Lineage: Eukaryota; Fungi; Basidiomycota; Agaricomycetes; Polyporales; Fomitopsidaceae
Description: U4 spliceosomal RNA
Rfam family: U4 spliceosomal RNA
About the family: U4 small nuclear RNA (U4 snRNA) is a component of the major U2-dependent spliceosome. The structure of U4 snRNA from yeast and human has been reported. U4 snRNA presents a k-turn RNA motif in the 5p-SL related to recognition of Snu13 protein.
Source: Rfam by way of RNAcentral